RNAcentral lists this unclassified non-coding RNA (4804 nucleotides) under Lytechinus variegatus (green sea urchin). RNAcentral's name for it is "protein dispatched homolog 1-like, transcript variant X1". Lineage: Eukaryota; Metazoa; Echinodermata; Echinoidea; Temnopleuroida; Toxopneustidae. The record is from RNAcentral.
UAAUUGGUCCACCGUCCCUCCACCGUUUCCCACAACACUAAUCAACUAGAAUUCACUUCAGAAUUGAACUCAGAACCGUUCAACGCUUGUAUUCGUCGUGUGAAGAAUUCAUUAAGUCACCUGGUACUGGGUAAAGUGAUAGUCAUGGCAACGGAAAUAAACACCAUGCCCAAUAGAACAGAACAGAUGUCAAUGGAAACCAGGAGUGACCGAAACAGUUAUAGAUCUGGGUCAAUACAUGCUCGACUCUUCACGAGGUUUCCAUUUAUUAUGAUUUUCUUACAAAUCAUAAUGAUGGCGCUUCUAACCUUCCUUACUGUUUACAUCCACGGACCACCAACAUUUGACGAUGCAUCAAGUGGUAUUGAAGCUCGAGGGACUCCAAUUCAUGACCACAUAGUUCCUCUAGAAAACAUCCUUCUUGGAUCUGACGUUAUUUCUCCAAAUCCAAACCUUUCCUUGGGUAGUUCUAGCAUGUCUACCGCCAGUGACUUGGAUUCUACCACGAACUCAACAAUAUAUACUGCCGGGACUCCUUCGAUACCUAUUUGUGGAAAUCCAAGUGGGAGUAGCUUUAGGGCUGUAUACGCCCCCUCGUCUUCGGCAGUGGAACUCUUAACACUUGAAACACUACUAUCUAUGUGCCAACAAGAUGACAUCUUUGUGCGUAACAGCUCUACUUAUGAGACGGUAUGCACCAAGUUAUCUGAUUCUUCGAACCAAUGCUGUCCAUCUUGGUCCAUCCCAAACUACAUAGGCGCCCUCGCCGGGAGGUCCUCUUGUCACGAAUUGAAAGCUAAUGACGUUACAUUUGCCAGAGCACUGCUAUCGGAGUGUGCACCAUAUUAUACAUCUGGAGCUUUGUCCGCCGAUUGUGGAUCGGGUGCUGACUGCCCAGAGGUGCCAUUGAACUGCACAACUUUCAACGCCAUUUACGUCAUGCUGUUUGCAAACUCACCCAGUGACUUUUCAUGCCAGGUUGCUGAGACGGGAGACCUUUCACUAACCAAUUCCUUACAAAUUGUUUCGUUAAACUCCUCGUUUAGUACUGGACCGCGGAUGCUUUAUAACGACGCAGCAAACAGACGCUACGUGGACAAUGGUAUUACUAAGAUUGAGGCAAUAGGCACCAACAGAGUCACUAAAUUUUUCCUCAUAUCAGAACCACUAAAGCAGGAUCUAAUAUACGCCGCGAUAGGUGUUGCGGUCGUACUCCUGAUAAUGUGGUUGUAUUUAAGAUCAUUUUUUAUUGCCAUUAUGGUGAUCUUUGAAAUAAUAUUUUCUGUGUUAUUGGCAUACUUUUUAUACUUUGUCGUAUUCCGCCUUACUUUCUUUGCAUUUGGGAACAUGCUUGCUAUUAUUUUAAUAUUAGGGGUUGGAGCAGAUGAUGCAUUCAUUUUCUACGACAUAUUUGAAAAUUUAAGGAGAAAGCAUCCGGAUGCUAAACAAGAGUUCAUUUUAGACGAAACCAUGAAGCAUGCUUUUCCUACCAUGUUUGUCACAAGUUUUACCACAGCAUCUGCUUUAUUUGUCAAUGUUACCAGCUCCGUAACAAAUAUUCGCCUCUAUGGCAUUUAUGCAGGGACUGUGGUGUUGUGCAAUUUUUUGUUUACAUUGACUUGGUCUCCAGCUGCUGUCAUCAUCUAUGAUAGACAUCUAAGGCUGCUUUUCCAGGCAUCAUCGACCAGUAAGGAAACAAGUUUCCAUAAAAUGAGGAACAUUUGGCAUAAACUGCGGGCAUUCUUUCGUCGUAUCUUUGAAGUAUACCUCCCGGCGCUUGCAUUCAAACUUCGUUGUCUUUGGAUUCUUAUGUUCACUUGUAUUUCAAUUGGAGCACUCCUUGUUGUAUUCUGGUGGCCCCAGCUCAGAGCACCGACUUCAAACACAGAAUUCCAAAUCUUCACAUUGAAGCACCCACUUGAGAGGUAUGACCAGUUGUUUAGAUCAACAUUCGAUAUCGAGAGAGCUAAAUUGGCGCCUUUACAGUUCAUUGUCGUCUGGGGCACUGUUCCGAUUGACAAUGGAGAUCCUUUUGAUCCUACAAAACGCGGUUACGUUCAACUUGAUAAAUCAUUUAGUCUUGAUGACCCAGAAUCCCAAGUCUGGUUACUUAAUUUCUGCUCGGAGGUUCGACAGCAAAGUUUUUAUAGCCCACCAUCUGUUGUCUAUGAAGACUGUUUUAUUGAGAAGAUGAAGGUUUUUAUGGAAACGCCAUGUCUACCAUCAAGUAUUGGAACUGACUUCUCACCCUGCUGUGGUCAGACUUCUUUUCCAUAUUCGGCGGACUUACUGAAAUUGUGCGCUCCAAAAUACGCAGCGUUCGUCUGCGAAUCAAUAGGUGGUGGCUGUCCUGCAGCUCUUCCUGGUCUCCGAUUCGACUCAGAAAACAACAUCAAGGCAUUUUUUGUGCAGUUCCAGAGCACAACUUUGUCGCAACUGGAGUUCGAUCCUGUGAAGGACUACUUCGAUACAGCUCUUGCUUGGGUAGACGAAAAGGUUAAAACGGCUCCUGGUGGUUUACAAGGUGGCUGGUUUGGAACACAUAGUCUUGCGCAACCAUAUUAUGUUGAUCUCAUCAUUAACCUGUUACAAGAUACGCCUCUUGCAAUUGGUUUAUCAUUGAUCAUUGCAAUGGCAGUAUUGCUCAUCACCAACAAAAAUGUCCUAAUUGCAUUUUACGCUACACUGUCAAUCGGUGGUGCUGUUAUCACAUCGGUGGCAAUUUUUGUCUUGAUUGGGUGGGAUCUUAGUGUGUUUGAGUCAGUGUUGAUUAUCCUAACAGUUGGCCUUGCUACCGAUUUCACCAUUCAUUACGGGGUUGCCUACCGCCUGGCACCACACAACGACAGGAAGAACCGUGCCCAAUACUCUUUAUCAAAUCUAUCUUCUGCGAACACCAUGGCAGCCUUGUCCAGUUUCUUAGUAGGAGCACUUAUAUUACCAGCGGAUGUCUUGAUAUUCUAUCAACUUGGUAUCGCUCUAGAAGUUGUCAUCGCCGUAAGCUGGGCAUUUGGGACCCUUUUCUUCAUACCAUUAUGUUACGUAGCAGGACCCCAGGGAACUUGCUGUCUAAUCCGUUGUUGCUGUCGAAAAUCACGUGAAAACAACCAACAGUACUAACUUGAAAAUAAUGAUAGUCAAAUAUAUAUUUUUGUAAUGUUGCAGCAGCCUUGAAAAGAUGAGAGGAAAAAAUAUUUUUGUAUCAUGAGAAGUAACAAAAUAAUAUCAUUCGAGCUUUUUAAAUGAUUUCGAUGUUUGAAAAAAGGUAAAUACUUUUUUAAUCAAAAUGUAGAGAACGAAGACAAUGGGUGUAACAUUUGAAACUGGUUAUACAUGUAUGUUAUUAUGAUGUAUGUGCAGAAAAUAGUUAAUUAACAUUAAUAACUAAAUAUUCUUUGAAUUUUCGCCUUUAACCCUUUGUACGCGGAAUUAACUCAGGAGAGAUGAUUAUGUCAAUUGUAUUGAUAUUUUCUUUGAAUCUGGAAUUAGACAUUGCAUCACUCAUACUGAUACCCUAGAAGUAUAAUCAUUCAUGACCUUAAAUGUGAAGUUCAUCUUGAAGAAAAGUUUGCUGUAAAAAUAACAGAAAAGAUAAUAAAGAAUAAUGGUGAAGGUUUGAGGAAAAUCCAUUAUUAAAACUUUGAGUUUUGGAUUUGUGAUGUCAUGAACGAGCAGCUGCUUCAUACAAAAUACAUAAAUUUCGAUUUCGAUCAUGCAUAUCAUGGUCGGUGAAGUGAUAGAUGACGUCAACCCACUCACUGUUUCUUUUGUAAUGUAUUAUACCAUGAAAUAUGAAAUAUCUUUUAUUUUCUCCUCAGUAAUAUGUUUGUAAUCAAGUUUGAUUUCUCCCUGAAUAUGUGAAAUUGGCAUUGUUGUAACCUAUGUACUGUGGUUUGAUGAACAGUCUCUUACAGAAAUCAAAUAUGGAAUAAAUCGAAUGUUUCUAUAUAUUUUUUACUGUAAGGUUUGUCAUGCUUGUUAUAAAUGAAUACUGUUCAUUUCAUACUAAAUAUACAUACAUCAGCCAUACUUACGUAUACGCUAAUCUAUCAUCGUAAUAUUUAUGAUCAGAAAGGAGAUAUGCAAAUGCCCUUAAUCCAAUCAUGUGUCCUGAUAUAACAAUCAUAAAAUACUGACUUCUGUAUUUUUUCAUAGCAUUUUUCACCUCACUGCCUCUUAUCUUGCAUAUAUGUAUAUGAAAAUGUCAGAAGAACUGUGUGGGUGACUGAAGAAACAGAAAAUGUGUGAAAUGGAAUUUACAUAAUAUGCUUUUUAGAGAAAGUAGAUUUACAGCAGUUAGACCAUGACUGGAUUUUCGGUCUUUUCCAAGAUCUAUCUUCAUUUGUAUAUGGCACUUUUUGCGGAUGAAUGAAUAAAUCGAUGACCAUAAUGAAUAUUGGGUUUGAACGAAGUGCGUGUAAGCUGUGCGCAUCAUUACUCUCUUACUUUCUAUGUCAAACAUGUUAACGUAUAAAAAAAAUCUUAGUUUCGAGCAGAAGACCUCUUGCACAACAUGAAAUAAUUACCUUAAAAUAUCGUAGUGUAAAUAUUCAAUUGCAAUAUGCAGGUGCGAUGAUUGCUAGGAAUGUCAUAGGGAUAUAAGUGAUAUAUUUCGCAUGAUUUGAUUUGUCUGUCUUCAUUAGAUGUGAAAUUCUCCUGUCUGGUAGUCUUUAGUUUUAUCCAUUCAUUUAUUUUUGAUAGUCAAUGAGUCUUGUUGUGCGAUAAAUUACGAAAUUAAGUAGUAAGCAACCUUUUGAGAUCGAAUAACUUUUAAAGUUUGCAGAUGUAUAAAUUUUUUUUUUUU